RNAcentral lists this ribosomal RNA (519 nucleotides) under uncultured bacterium. RNAcentral describes it as "bacterial SSU rRNA". It matches the Rfam family "Bacterial small subunit ribosomal RNA", at positions 8 to 518 of the family's 1533-position model. The record is from RNAcentral.
AGAGUUGAUCCUGGCUUAGGAUGAACGCUAGCUACAGGCUUAACACAUGCAAGUCGAGGGGCAGCAGGGCAAUAGCUUGCUAUUGUGCUGGCGACCGGCGCACGGGUGAGUAACGCGUAUCCAACCUACCCCGCGGUCAGGGACAGCCCGGCGAAAGUCGGAUUAAUACCUGAUGCAGUCAGAAGAGGGCAUCUGAUUUUGACGAAAGAUUCAUCGCCUCGGGAUGGGGAUGCGUAGGAUUAGGCAGGCGGCGGGGUAACGGCCCACCGCGCCGACGAUCCUUAGGGGUUCUGAGAGGAAGGUCCCCCACACUGGUACUGAGACACGGACCAGACUCCUACGGGAGGCAGCAGUGAGGAAUAUUGGUCAAUGGGCGCGAGCCUGAACCAGCCAAGUAGCGUGCAGGACGACGGCCCUAUGGGUUGUAAACUGCUUUUAUGCGGGGAUAAAGUGCGGCACGUGUGCCGUUUUGUAGGUACCGCAUGAAUAAGGGCCGGCUAAUUCCGUGCCAGCAGCGGC